AAAAAUUGGACUGGCUUUUGGAAACCCUUAAAAAGAGAAAAUUGAGAAAUAAGAACAAAAGGUGAGGCUCUUUUUUGCAUAUGAAGUCAGUCUGAAGAGUUCUUGAGAACAAAGAAAAUAUUGUUUCAUUGCCUUCAAUUCCCUGAGUUUGUUUCCAACCUUCAACUGGAACUUCAGUUCCUACAUUCCCUUAAAGAAGAAGCAUGAUUUGUUUCUGUUUCAUUCGAGUUUGGUUUGUGGUUGCUGGAUUCACUUUUGAGCAUCUUGGUACUGUUGUUGGGUUAUUUUGGGAUCUUAUUUGGUUUUGAAACCAUUCCGAAAUUUGGUUUGGUUUUUCUCUACUGCUGGAAUUUUGCGAUCUUAUUUGGUUUUGAAACCAUUCCAAAAUUUGGUUUGAGUUUUCUGUACUGCUGGAACUUUUUUCGCUGAUUCCGCUCGAUCCAAAGUGUUUUUGGACCAUAUUUUGAUUUCCUAGGCUUUGUUGUGUUGCUGUGGUCUAGUCCUGUUAUUACUGCUGUCGCUAAUCUCUCUUCUUCUUCUAUUUCACAUUCCAGGUACACAUUCUGAUAAUGUGUGUUGAAGUUAUGAAGUGAAGUAAUAAAUGCAGAUUUUUAUCUGAAUGUCGU
RNAcentral lists this long non-coding RNA (626 nucleotides) under Nicotiana benthamiana. RNAcentral's name for it is "long non-coding RNA (NBEN_LNC040148)". Lineage: Eukaryota; Viridiplantae; Streptophyta; Magnoliopsida; Solanales; Solanaceae. The record is from RNAcentral.